AUUGAACGCUGGCGGCAUGCUUUACACAUGCAAGUCGAACGGCAGCGCGGGCUUCGGCCUGGCGGCGAGUGGCGAACGGGUGAGUAAUGCAUCGGAACGUGCCCAGGAGUGGGGGAUAGCCCGGCGAAAGCCGGAUUAAUACCGCAUACGACCUGAGGGUGAAAGCGGGGGACCGAAAGGCCCCUCGCUAUUGGAGCGGCCGAUGUCGGAUUAGCCAGUUGGUGGGGUAAAGGCUUACCAAGGCGACGAUCCGUAGCUGGUCUGAGAGGACGACCAGCCGCACUGGUACUGAGCCGCGGCCCAGGCUCCUACGGGAGGCCGCAGUGGGGAAUUUUAGACCAUGGGGGCAACCCUGCUCCAGCCCUGCCGCGUGCGGGAAGAAGGCCUUCGGGUUGUAAACCGCUUUUGUUCGGGAUGAAAUCCUCUGGGCUAGUACCCCGAGGGGAUGACGGUACCGGGAGAAUAAGCACCGGCUAACUACGUG
RNAcentral lists this ribosomal RNA (484 nucleotides) under uncultured bacterium. Its description in RNAcentral is "partial 16S ribosomal RNA". It matches the Rfam family "Bacterial small subunit ribosomal RNA", at positions 28 to 507 of the family's 1533-position model. The record is from RNAcentral.